RNAcentral lists this ribosomal RNA (468 nucleotides) under uncultured bacterium. RNAcentral's name for it is "partial 16S ribosomal RNA". It matches the Rfam family "Bacterial small subunit ribosomal RNA", at positions 28 to 507 of the family's 1533-position model. The record is from RNAcentral.
GACGAACGCUGGCGGCGUGCUUAACACAUGCAAGUCGAACGGAAAGGCCCUGCUUUUGUGGGGUGCUCGAGUGGCGAACGGGUGAGUAACACGUGAGUAACCUGCCCUUGACUUUGGGAUAACUUCAGGAAACUGGGGCUAAUACCGGAUAGGAGCUCCUGCUGCAUGGUGGGGGUUGGAAAGUUUCGGCGGUUGGGGAUGGACUCGCGGCUUAUCAGCUUGUUGGUGGGGUAGUGGCUUACCAAGGCUUUGAUGGGUAGCCGGCCUGAGAGGGUGACCGGCGACAUUGGGACUGAGAUACGGAGCAGACUGCAACGGGAGGCAGCAGGGGGGAAUAUUGCACAAUGGGCGGAAGCCUGAUGCAGCAACGCCGCGUGCGGGAUGACGGCCUUCGGGUUGUAAACCGCUUUCGCCGGUGACGAAGCGUGAGUGACGGUAAUGGGUAAAGAAGCACCGGCUAACUACGUG